RNAcentral lists this ribosomal RNA (420 nucleotides) under uncultured archaeon. Its description in RNAcentral is "partial 16S ribosomal RNA". It matches the Rfam family "Archaeal small subunit ribosomal RNA", at positions 323 to 746 of the family's 1478-position model. The record is from RNAcentral.
CUACGGGGGGCAGCAGGUAGGGAUAAUCUACAAUGCACGCAAGUGUGAUAGUUUGAGCCAGAGUGCAUUUCAAUGAAAUGCUUUUGCCAAGUCUAAAAAUCUUGGCGAAUAAGGACUGGGUAAGACAGGUGCCAGCCGCCGCGGUAAUACCUGCGGUCCAAGUCGCAAUCAUUUUUAUUGGGUCUAAAACAUCCGUAGCUUGCUUAAUAAGUCCUUUGUGAAAUCUUAUGUCUCAAGCAUAAGAAUUGCAAGGGGUACUGUUUUGCUAGAGACUAGGAGACGUAAUGAGUAUGUUCAAAGUAGCGGUAAAAUGUGUUAAUCUUGAGCAGACUAACAAGAGCGAAGGCACAUUACGAGAAUAGUUCUGACAGUGAGGGAUGAAGGCUAGGGGCGCAAAACGGAUUAGAUACCCUGGUAGUC